This 435-nucleotide ribosomal RNA is filed under the name uncultured bacterium. RNAcentral describes it as "partial 16S ribosomal RNA". It matches the Rfam family "Bacterial small subunit ribosomal RNA", at positions 338 to 795 of the family's 1533-position model. The record is from RNAcentral.
CCUACGGGGGGCUGCAGUGGGGAAUAUUGGACAAUGGGCGCAAGCCUGAUCCAGCAAUGCCGCGUGUGUGAAGAAGGCCUGCGGGUUGUAAAGCACUUUAAGCAGGAAAGAAGGGGUGAAAGUUAAUACCUUUCAUCAUUGACGUUACCUGCAGAAUAAGCACCGGCUAACUCCGUGCCAGCAGCCGCGGUAAUACGGAGGGUGCGGGCGGUAGGCGGAAUUACUGGGCGGUCGUGACGCGUAUGCGGUUAACCUGGGAACUGCGGUGGAUACUGUCGGGCUAGAGUGUGGUAGAGGGGAGUGGAAUUUCCGGUGUAGCAGUGAAAUGCGUAGAGAUCGGAAGGAACACCAGUGGCGAAGGCGGCUCCCUGGACUAACACUGACGCUGAGGUGCGAAAGCGUGGGGAGCAAACAGGAUUAGAUACCCCUGUAGUC